RNAcentral lists this non-coding RNA (372 nucleotides) under Pongo abelii (Sumatran orangutan). Lineage: Eukaryota; Metazoa; Chordata; Mammalia; Primates; Hominidae. The record is from RNAcentral.
CCAGCUGGAGCAGCCCAGGCAGCCUGCGCGCUCACUCGCUUGCUUGCGCUGGGCUUCAGAGCGCUGGGAUUUCUUGCUUCAAAACAGCUGCAUUUUUGGAAGAAAGUCCACAACUGACAACUAAGUAAAACCCUCCUGGUGGAUAGCAUAAAUCUGCUUUGUUGAAGCUGCUCAUUUGUCUGAUCUAUGAGUCUAGAAGAUGCAAACUCCCUUCUCAGCUUAUGCAAAAAUACUUCCAGUAAAAACAAGCCCUUUGGCCCCUUUCUUCUGUCAGUCCAGAUUUCAGCAUGUUCUUCGCUUUGUUAUUCAUAAUUUUAUGUAUUUGGACCCAUCCUCAAACAGACUUUAAACCCUUUAAAGGCAAGGAGGGAC